RNAcentral lists this ribosomal RNA (276 nucleotides) under Titanolebias prognathus. Its description in RNAcentral is "Austrolebias prognathus partial 28S ribosomal RNA". Lineage: Eukaryota; Metazoa; Chordata; Actinopteri; Cyprinodontiformes; Rivulidae. The record is from RNAcentral.
UUUAUGACUGAAACGCCUCUAAGUCAGAAUCCCGCCUAGACGCGUGGAUACCGGAGUGCCGCUGUCAGUUGGCUGGUCUCGGAUAGCCGGCUCCGGCCGGUGCGGAGAGCCGUACGUGAAUGGGAGAAGGUGCGGCUGGACAGGGGCCGCACCUCACCACGCGCGCACAGCAUGUUUGCCUGGGUGCGGUGCUAAAGGACCUGCAGACGACCUGAUUCUGGGUCGGGGUUUCAUAAGUAGCAGAGCAGCUCCCUCGCUGCGAUCUAUUGAAAGUCA